Molecule: ribosomal RNA, 1020 nt
Filed under: Acinetobacter radioresistens
Lineage: Bacteria; Pseudomonadati; Pseudomonadota; Gammaproteobacteria; Moraxellales; Moraxellaceae
Description: bacterial SSU rRNA
Rfam family: Bacterial small subunit ribosomal RNA
Source: RNAcentral
AGAUGAACGCUGCGGCAGGCUUAACACAUGCAAGUCGAGCGGAUGAAGGUAGCUUGCUACGGAUUCAGCGGCGGACGGGUGAGUAAUGCUUAGGAAUCUGCCUAUUAGUGGGGGACAACGUUCCGAAAGGAGCGCUAAUACCGCAUACGUCCUACGGGAGAAAGCAGGGGACCUUUGGGCCUNGCGCUAAUAGAUGAGCCUAAGUCGGAUUAGCUAGUUGGUAGGGUAAAGGCCUACCAAGGCGACGAUCUGUAGCGGGUCUGAGAGGAUGAUCCGCCACACUGGGACUGAGACACGGCCCAGACUCCUACGGGAGGCAGCAGUGGGGAAUAUUGGACAAUGGGGGGAACCCUGAUCCAGCCAUGCCGCGUGUGUGAAGAAGGCCUUUUGGUUGUAAAGCACUUUAAGCGAGGAGGAGGCUACCUAGAUUAAUACUUUAGGAUAGUGGACGUUACUCGCAGAAUAAGCACCGGCUAACUCUGUGCCAGCAGCCGCGGUAAUACAGAGGGUGCGAGCGUUAAUCGGAUUUACUGGGCGUAAAGCGUGCGUAGGCGGCCAAUUAAGUCAAAUGUGAAAUCCCCGAGCUUAACUUGGGAAUUGCAUUCGAUACUGGUUGGCUAGAGUAUGGGAGAGGAUGGUAGAAUUCCAGGUGUAGCGGUGAAAUGCGUAGAGAUCUGGAGGAAUACCGAUGGCGAAGGCAGCCAUCUGGCCUAAUACUGACGCUGAGGUACGAAAGCAUGGGGAGCAAACAGGAUUAGAUACCCUGGUAGUCCAUGCCGUAAACGAUGUCUACUAGCCGUUGGGGCCCUUGAGGCUUUAGUGGCGCAGCUAACGCGAUAAGUAGACCGCCUGGGGAGUACGGUCGCAAGACUAAAACUCAAAUGAAUUGACGGGGGCCCGCACAAGCGGUGGAGCAUGUGGUUUAAUUCGAUGCAACGCGAAGAACCUUACCUGGCCUUGACAUACAGAGAACUUUCCAGAGAUGGAUUGGUGCCUUCGGGAACUCUGAUACAGGUGCUG